RNAcentral lists this ribosomal RNA (442 nucleotides) under uncultured bacterium. RNAcentral describes it as "partial 16S ribosomal RNA". It matches the Rfam family "Bacterial small subunit ribosomal RNA", at positions 338 to 795 of the family's 1533-position model. The record is from RNAcentral.
CCUACGGGAGGCAGCAGUAGGGAAUCUUUCACAAUGGGCGAAAGCCUGAUGGCGCAACGCCGCGUGCAGGAUGAAGGCCUUCUGGUUGUAAACUGCUUUUAUAAGCGAGAAAUAUGAUGGUCACUUAUGAAUAAGGAUCGGCUAACUACGUGCCAGCAGCCGCGUUCAUACGUAGGAUACGAGCAUUAUCCGGAGUGACUUGGUGUAAAGAGUUGCGUAGGUGGCGUAAUAAGUAGCUAGUGAAAUCUGGUGGCUCAACCAUUCAGACUAUUAGCUAAACUGUUAAGCUCGAGACCGUUAGGGGUAACUGGAAUUUCUAGUGUAGGAGUGAAAUCCGUAGAUAUUAGAAAGAACACCGAUAGCGUAGGCAGGUUACUGGGACGGUUCUGACACUAAGGCACGAAAGCGUAGGGAGCAAACGGGAUUAGAUACCCGAGUAGUC